RNAcentral lists this ribosomal RNA (639 nucleotides) under uncultured Actinomycetes bacterium. RNAcentral's name for it is "bacterial SSU rRNA". It matches the Rfam family "Bacterial small subunit ribosomal RNA", at positions 232 to 885 of the family's 1533-position model. Lineage: Bacteria; Bacillati; Actinomycetota; Actinomycetes. The record is from RNAcentral.
CGCGGCCUAUCAGCUUGUUGGUGAGGUAACGGCUCACCAAGGCAUCGACGGGUAGCUGGUCUGAGAGGACGAUCAGCCACACUGGGACUGAGACACGGCCCAGACUCCUACGGGAGGCAGCAGUAGGGAAUCGUGCGCAAUGGGCGAAAGCCUGACGCAGCAACGCCGCGUGGGGGAUGAAUGCCUUCGGGUUGUAAACCCCUUUCAGCAGGGACGAAAAUGACGGUACCUGCAGAAGAGGCUCCGGCCAACUACGUGCCAGCAGCCGCGGUAAUACGUAGGGAGCGAGCGUUGUCCGGAAUUAUUGGGCGUAAAGAGCUCGUAGGCGGUUCAGUAAGUCGGGUGUGAAAACUCAAGGCUCAACCUUGAGACGCCACUCGAUACUGCUGUGACUUGAGUCCGGUAGAGGAGUGUGGAAUUCCUGGUGUAGCGGUGAAAUGCGCAGAUAUCAGGAGGAACACCAGCGGCGAAGGCGGCACUCUGGGCCGGUACUGACGCUGAGGAGCGAAAGCAUGGGGAGCAAACAGGAUUAGAUACCCUGGUAGUCCAUGCCGUAAACGUUGGGCACUAGGUAUGGGAUCAUAUCAACGGAUUCCGUGCCGUAGCUAACGCAUUAAGUGCCCCGCCUGGGGAGUACGG